UUUCCGUAGGUGAACCUGCGGAAGGACCAUUACUGAGUGAGGGCCCCUCGGGGUCCAACCUCCCACCCGUGUUUAACGAACCUUGUUGCUUCGGCGGGCCCGCCUCACGGCCGCCGGGGGGCAUCUGCCCCCGGGCCCGCGCCCGCCGAAGCCACCUGUGAACGCUGUCUGAAGUAUGCAGUCUGAGACAAUUAUUAAAUUAAUUAAAACUUUCAACAACGGAUCUCUUGGUUCCG
RNAcentral lists this unclassified non-coding RNA (236 nucleotides) under plant metagenome. RNAcentral describes it as "partial contains small subunit ribosomal RNA, internal transcribed spacer 1, and 5.8S ribosomal RNA". The record is from RNAcentral.